This is an RNA transcript of Harpia harpyja (harpy eagle), 3049 nucleotides long. It is a transcript of the gene named radixin, with no coding region annotated. The record is from RefSeq and is a predicted model, not a curated record. The transcript is spliced from 17 exons. NCBI's taxonomy places the organism in Eukaryota, Metazoa, Chordata, Aves, Accipitriformes, Accipitridae.
GAAAAUCUGAACGGCGGCGGCCGCCGCCAUAUUGCGGAGCUGUCAGCGGCGGCUGCGCCUGGCGCCUCGUCCCCGGCGGCGCCGCGAGCAGUACGGGGCGACCCCGCAGCGCCUCCUGCCCCGCUGUGAGGGGGGGAGCCGCGCGGCGGGGGGGGGGCGGGCGCCACCCUGCCCCACGAGGAGCGGAGAGCGCCGCGCUCAGCACCCUACCCGGGGGUCUCGUCCCCGUCCCCCCCUCCGCCCGGCGCCGCGCAGCGCCCGCCCCGCUCGCGGGGGAGCGGAGCCCCAGAAGGGGACAAAGAGCUUGUAGAAGACUUAAGUGGACAAGAGACUAAAGAAAACAAGAAAAAUGCCGAAACCAAUCAAUGUCAGAGUAACAACAAUGGAUGCAGAGUUGGAAUUUGCCAUCCAGCCCAAUACCACAGGCAAACAGCUCUUUGAUCAGGUGGUGAAAACUGUUGGUCUUCGUGAAGUCUGGUUUUUUGGGCUACAGUAUGUGGACAGCAAAGGCUACUCAACUUGGCUGAAGCUAAAUAAAAAGGUAACACAGCAAGAUGUAAGGAAAGAAAAUCCUUUGCAGUUUAAGUUCAGGGCCAAGUUUUUUCCAGAGGAUGUAUCAGAAGAAUUAAUUCAGGAAAUAACUCAGAGACUUUUCUUCCUGCAAGUCAAAGAAGCUAUCUUAAAUGAUGAAAUAUAUUGCCCACCAGAAACUGCAGUUCUUCUGGCUUCUUAUGCUGUCCAGUCCAAGUAUGGAGAUCACAGUAAGGAGAUACAUAAACUAGGCUACCUAGCCAAUGACAGACUUCUCCCUCAGCGUGUGUUAGAACAGCACAAACUGACAAAAGAACAGUGGGAAGAAAGGAUACAGAACUGGCAUGAAGAGCACAGGGGAAUGUUAAGGGAGGAUUCUAUGAUGGAAUACCUUAAGAUAGCACAAGACUUGGAAAUGUAUGGAGUCAACUAUUUUGAAAUAAAGAAUAAAAAAGGAACUGAAUUGUGGCUAGGAGUUGAUGCUUUGGGUCUGAAUAUUUAUGAGCAUGAUGAUAAGCUGACACCCAAGAUUGGUUUUCCUUGGAGUGAAAUAAGAAACAUCUCUUUUAAUGACAAAAAAUUUGUCAUAAAGCCAAUUGACAAAAAGGCCCCUGAUUUUGUUUUCUAUGCGCCCCGUCUGAGAAUUAACAAGCGAAUUUUGGCACUGUGUAUGGGAAAUCAUGAAUUGUACAUGAGGAGGAGGAAACCUGAUACAAUUGAAGUGCAACAGAUGAAGGCCCAAGCUAGAGAGGAGAAACAUCAGAAACAAUUGGAAAGGGCACAAUUAGAAAAUGAGAAGAAGAAAAGGGAGAUAGCAGAAAAGGAAAAGGAAAGAAUAGAGCGUGAAAAAGAAGAAUUAAUGGAACGCUUAAGACAAAUUGAGGAACAAACAAUGAAAGCUCAGAAAGAGCUAGAGGAACAGACUAGAAGAGCUCUAGAACUGGAUCAAGAACGAAAGCGUGCAAAAGAGGAAGCAGAGCGCCUGGAAAAAGAACGUCGAGCAGCUGAAGAAGCUAAAGCUGCUCUAGCCAAGCAGACAGCUGAUCAAAUGAAGAACCAAGAGCAGCUAGCAGCCGAACUUGCUGAAUUCACUGCCAAGAUUGCGCUUCUAGAGGAGGCCAAGAAAAAGAAAGAAGAGGAAGCCUCAGAAUGGCAGCACAAAGCUUUUGCAGCCCAAGAGGACUUGGAAAAGACCAAAGAAGAACUGAAAUCUGUGAUGUCUGCUCCUCCUCCACCUCCUCCCCCACCAGUUAUUCCUCCAACAGAGAAUGAACAUGAUGAACAUGAUGAGAACAAUGCUGAAGCCAGUGCAGAACUGUCUUCUGAUGGUGUCAUGAAUCACAGGAGUGAGGAAGAACGGGUAACAGAAACACAGAAAAAUGAACGUGUUAAGAAACAGCUCCAGGCUUUAAGUUCUGAGUUGGCUCAAGCCAGAGAUGAAACCAAGAAAACACAAAAUGAUGUCCUUCAUGCUGAGAAUGUUAAAGCAGGCCGUGAUAAGUACAAGACUCUUCGACAAAUCCGACAAGGCAAUACAAAGCAGCGUAUUGAUGAGUUUGAAGCAAUCAGUAGGCUUUAGGCAGCAGAAGAAACAAGGGGACAUGGCAAUGCACAUCAAAGGAGGCGGCCUAGUCAGUGCAAAUAUUCCUAAUGCACAUGUGUGUAAGAGUUAAUGUUCCCUGUGCUCUGGAUAAGUGGAUCAGGUGAAAAGAGAUCAAGCUCAGAGUUGUAUUGCCAGAAAGAGAUUCAUUUGCAUCGGGGCUGAGGCUGAAAACUUUUCUGCCAAGUGCACUUCGAUCUUCAACAAAGUUACAAAAGUACGAUCUCUUGCAGCCCUUAGGAUAGGAACAAGGUAAAGAUCAGCAGAAGACCUGGGGUCUGCCAAGGCCUGCUAUUGUGCUUCUCUAACUCUGGACAGUUUACAGCGCUUUAAAUUAGGUGCUGCCUGGUCCAUGAAGAGUUUUUUGGAAGGACCAGAAGUGCUGUUAUGACAUUUUGUUAAUGUUUGGUUCUCUCAUGGUCUCUCUAAAUCUUUCCUUUGUUGUCUUUUCCCAGGAGAAAAUUAGCUUUUUGAAGUAUUUAAGCCAUUGUUCUUCCCAGAAAAACAGGAAAUAAUACUAAUAUGUUAAUCUUUAACAUGUAAUGGGACGUGCUAGAGUGAAAUGUGAUGUGACCCUUCAAAGUGCUUGGAGGAUCUUGUAGGCUUUGCCCACAAAUGAUGUAGUGUGGGAAGCCUGACUCUAUAUCCAGCCUGGGUAAAGUGAAAUAAGAGUAGAUACUUUCCAAGUUUUAUUGGUUUUCUACACAAAUCCUAAUAGCCCUGAUGAUACAUGAAUAAUGUCAGAUAAUUUUCUAAUGUAAAACUCCCAAUUUAAUAUGUCUGUACAUACAUUCCAGUGUAAGCACCCGUUGCUACUUGCCUUUUUGUACGCUAAUAGGAUGUGCAUACUGUGUAUACGUAACUGCGUUGAAUUGUGCACCCUGCACAAAAGCCUGAAUAAAUGGGUUUUAACGUUAA